RNAcentral lists this ribosomal RNA (376 nucleotides) under Lysmata wurdemanni. RNAcentral describes it as "partial 12S ribosomal RNA". Lineage: Eukaryota; Metazoa; Arthropoda; Malacostraca; Decapoda; Hippolytidae. The record is from RNAcentral.
UGGUAUUYUUGAUUUUAAUCAAAAAGCUUGAGUAGUAAACAGUUAUAGGCUCGAAACUUAAAGGAUUUGGCGGUGUUUUAGUCCAGUUAGAGGAACCUGUCCAGUAAUCGAUGAACCACGAAGAAUCUCACUUUAUCUAGUAUUAAACAGUUUGUAUACCGCCAUUAUCAGGCAUGCUCUAUAGGGUUUUGCUAUAAUAGGAAUCUAAUCCUGUUAAAUUAGGUCAAGGUGCAGCUUAUGGUAAAGGGGCGAGAUGGGUUACAAUUUUUUUUUUGGUGGAAAAGACGGAUAAAAAAAAAGAACUUUUUUUUUAAAGGCGGAUUUAAUAGUAAUUUUUGCUUAAUAUGCUAAAAUGAUAGUGGCUCUAAAAUGUGUA